GCCCUCCGAGGGGCCGCGCUUACCCGUCGGGCGAGUACUCGAGGUUGAAGACCGCGCCGUGGGUGCGGGUGCUGAGGUACACCGAGUCCGCGGGAUGGAUGGAACCAUAGAGGCUUUUACACUUUGGGAGCAGCAGCUGAUUCACUCCUGAUGUCUUUGACACCAUUGGUACUGCCCAUCAAAUACAAUUGUUUGUUGGGAACAAGAUCGACAAAAUGAGCAAGGUGGUUGGACAUGGCAAAAAAAGCUGAAAUGGCAGCGACAUCCCAAGCAUCUUCUCGGUUGAAGCCAUGCAUCUCUAACUUUUUGAAAUGGUCAUCUGUUAUGUCAUCACUCGGGAAAUAGCAAGUGCAAACUCCAGCAUUGCCUUUUCCCGAGCAGGGAGGUCAGACUUUCUCCAGUUCACACAGACCUGCAAGAAAACACAGUCAAAAGCAGAAUCUCUGUUCAUCACAAUAUAGCUGAUAAAACAAAAGGUCUAACAAAAUGAAAAACCCUUUAGAAUAAAGGGGCAAAGUCAGGACAAAAUACUUUCCAAUGGAAUACAAACUUGAAACUCUGGCUCAGCCCCACCUCUGCCAAGAAGUCUUCUUUGCUCACUCCAACUAUAAGCACGUCUUGCUCCUCUAAAUACUUACGGCUCCAAAAAUCUCAGAAGCAAGACUCAGAAACUCUAAGUACAUAAGGACCCCAAAUCCAAACUUUUUCUUAUGAGUAAAGAGAAGCUCAGAUAAUUAUCCCUUUGUCCCAAUUAAUCCCAAACAAGAAACAAUAUCUGCAAAAUUAAUAGCUGACACUUACCAAUUACUAUGUGCUAAGGAUGUGCUCAAUGCUUCAUAUUCAUUAUCUUAUUUCUUAUAAAAAUCCUAGGAAGUAGUAUUUUUAUUAUUGCCCCCAUUUUAUUGGCAAAGAAACCAAAGCUCAGGGAGGUCAAGCGACUUCCCCAAGGUCAUACAGUUGGAAAGUGGCAGAGCUGGGAUGUGAUUCAAAGUGUAUUUGAUUCCAAAGAUUAUACUUAUAAUCAUUACCCUUGCUCAAGUAAAAUACUGAAAACCACUAACCACCUAAAAAAUAGAAGAACAGUUCAGCAAACCAUGGUGUGACAGCAUACACUAUGGCCACCAGGGAAGCAAUGCCUAGAGAAUGAUCUUGGAUGAAUAAAGGUCUGGCAACCAGACAGGAGGCUCUCAGCACAGCAAAGAGAGAGAGAGAGAAAGCACAAGCAGAGGGAGAAGCAGACUGCUUGCUGAGCAAGGAGCCCAAUGUGGGACUUGAUCCCAGGACACUGGGAUCAUGACCUGAGCCGAAGGCGGACACUUAACCGACUGAGCCACCCAGGUGUCCCAAGACUAAAAAAAUUUAAAAGGUUCACUCAAGUUAUCACAUUCUUUGAGACACCUAUCCUGGCACCUUCCUCCCCACAGAGUGGUAACCAUUUUAUCCUCUCUACCCGUGGGACUGACACCCUAAUCAGGUUGUUACAGCCACCCUAACCCUUGAUAUUUUCAUGUGGAGACAGCAAACUCCCCCAGGGCAGGGGCCAUGACUCAGCAGACUCCUCAGCUCACUUCCUGGCUCAGAGCAAAUGCCAAAUGCCGACUAGUGUUGUUGAUUGAAAGGAAAAAACAACCCCCCCACCCACUCCUGUGCCUGGGUGGCUCAGUGGACUGGGUGUCCAACUUUUUUUUUUUUUAAAGAUUUUAUUUACUUAUUUGAGAAAGAAUAAGAGAGAGAGGGAGAGCAUGAGAGGGGGGAGGGUCAGAGGGAGCAGAUUCCCGCCGAGCAGGGAGCCCGAUGUGGGACUCGAUCCUGGGACUCCAGGAUCAUGACUUGAGCCGAAGGCAGUUGCUUAACCAACUGAGCCACCCAGGCGCCCCUGGGUGUCCAACUCUUAAUCUCAGCUCAGAUCUUUUUUUUUUUUUUUAAGAUUUUAUUUAUUUAUUUGAGAGAGCGUGCACUAGCGGGAGUGGGGAGAGGCAGAGGGAGAAGCAGACUCCCCGUUGAGCAGGGAGCACUAGGCGGGGUUUGAUUCCAGGAUCCCGAGUUCACGACCUGAGCCACAACCAAGAGUCCGAGGCUUAACCGACUGAGCCACCCAGGCGCCCUCGGCUCCGGUCUUGAUCUCAGGGUCUAGUUCAAGCCAAAGCCCAGCGUAGACCCUACUUAAAAAAAAAAAAAAAAAAAAACCUAAACAAAACGGCCCAAUUUCACCAGUCAACAAAGAAAAGCAACCAUGAAAUGCUACUUUUCCAGCUUCUCAAGUCGUAACGAUUUCUAAAGAGGAAGUUUUGGGAAAUCGUCUGGAAGGCCCAAUCUUUCCGAAGAUCAAUCUGGUAAUUUUGUGGAAGAAAAUCCUGAAAGUGGGGAGGUGUACACCACAAGCAGUCGAUGGCAGCACCACUCUUACAGCUCCGGCUCCAAGCGGGCCGCCCCCAAACAGGGAAUGGGCUUAAUCCACCUGGGCCGAUCUGCUGGGAAGCCCCGACGCGGGGUUGACAGCCAAGCUUGCUCUCCACCUGGGAAGGCCUGCAUUAACUGCAUGGGUCCAGCCUCCUCUGCGUUCCCCAGCCCCACAGCCACUUCUGCAUCCAGAAACGGCAGCACGCGCCGUUUGGAAACGCAAACUUCAUAACCGCGACCCAACCUGACCCCAAGUAUGAACCGCAAGUCGGGGAAGUCCGUAGCCGCAGCAAGGAGCGUUAAGGCCUCCACACACUCGCGGGGAGCCGCGGCUCCCCACUCACCCGCACGCUGGCUGACCUCCGCAAUCCCCAGGCCCUGCCCGCCACGCCAGCCCUGGCCGUGCGAUUUCACUCACCUGCGGCCGCAGGCC
Long non-coding RNA from Mirounga angustirostris (Northern elephant seal), 2833 nucleotides. RefSeq lists it as uncharacterized. The record is from RefSeq and is a predicted model, not a curated record. The transcript has 3 exons. Lineage: Eukaryota; Metazoa; Chordata; Mammalia; Carnivora; Phocidae.